AUUGAACGCUGGCGGCAGGCUUAACACAUGCAAGUCGAGCGGGGUGAUGGUGCUUGCACUAUCACUUAGCGGCGGACGGGUGAGUAAUGCUUAGGAAUCUGCCUAUUAGUGGGGGACAACAUCUCGAAAGGGAUGCUAAUACCGCAUACGUCCUAUGGGAGAAAGCAGGGGAUCACUUGUGACCUUGCGCUAAUAGAUGAGCCUAAGUCGGAUUAGCUAGUUGGUGGGGUAAAGGCCUACCAAGGCGACGAUCUGUAGCGGGUCUGAGAGGAUGAUCCGCCACACUGGGACUGAGACACGGCCCAGACUCCUACGGGAGGCAGCAGUGGGGAAUAUUGGACAAUGGGGGGAACCCUGAUCCAGCCAUGCCACGUGUGUGAAGAAGGCCUUAUGGUUGUAAAGCACUUUAAGCGAGGAGGAGGCUCUUUUGGUUAAUACCCAAGAUGAGUGGACGUUACUCGCAGAAUAAGCACCGGCUAACUCUGUGCCAGCCGCCGCUGUAA
RNAcentral lists this ribosomal RNA (503 nucleotides) under uncultured bacterium. RNAcentral's name for it is "partial 16S ribosomal RNA". It matches the Rfam family "Bacterial small subunit ribosomal RNA", at positions 30 to 523 of the family's 1533-position model. The record is from RNAcentral.